This 759-nucleotide ribosomal RNA is filed under the name Rhodococcus sp. (in: high G+C Gram-positive bacteria). Its description in RNAcentral is "bacterial SSU rRNA". It matches the Rfam family "Bacterial small subunit ribosomal RNA", at positions 74 to 847 of the family's 1533-position model. Lineage: Bacteria; Bacillati; Actinomycetota; Actinomycetes; Mycobacteriales; Nocardiaceae. The record is from RNAcentral.
GGCCUUUCGGGGUACACGAGCGGCGAACGGGUGAGUAACACGUGGGUGAUCUGCCCUGCACUCUGGGAUAAGCCUGGGAAACUGGGUCUAAUACCGGAUAUGACCUGCUCUCGCAUGGGGGUGGGUGGAAAGAUUUAUCGGUGCAGGAUGGGCCCGCGGCCUAUCAGCUUGUUGGUGGGGUAAUGGCCUACCAAGGCGACGACGGGUAGCCGACCUGAGAGGGUGACCGGCCACACUGGGACUGAGACACGGCCCAGACUCCUACGGGAGGCAGCAGUGGGGAAUAUUGCACAAUGGGCGAAAGCCUGAUGCAGCGACGCCGCGUGAGGGAUGAAGGCCUUCGGGUUGUAAACCUCUUUCAGCAGGGACGAAGCGCAAGUGACGGUACCUGCAGAAGAAGCACCGGCUAACUACGUGCCAGCAGCCGCGGUAAUACGUAGGGUGCGAGCGUUGUCCGGAAUUACUGGGCGUAAAGAGUUCGUAGGCGGUUUGUCGCGUCGUUUGUGAAAACCCGGGGCUCAACUUCGGGCUUGCAGGCGAUACGGGCAGACUUGAGUGUUUCAGGGGAGACUGGAAUUCCUGGUGUAGCGGUGAAAUGCGCAGAUAUCAGGAGGAACACCGGUGGCGAAGGCGGGUCUCUGGGAAACAACUGACGCUGAGGAACGAAAGCGUGGGUAGCAAACAGGAUUAGAUACCCUGGUAGUCUACGCCGUAAACAGCGGGCGCUAGGUGUGGGUUCCCUCCCCGGAAACCUGUGCC